UGCCUAUGUAUGUGUGAAUUUCACAGUGC
RNAcentral lists this non-coding RNA (29 nucleotides) under Mus musculus (house mouse). The record is from RNAcentral. Lineage: Eukaryota; Metazoa; Chordata; Mammalia; Rodentia; Muridae.